AGUCGUACGCUUCUUUUUCCACCGGAGCUUGCUCCACCGGAAAAAGAGGAGUGGCGAACGGGUGAGUAACACGUGGGUAACCUGCCCAUCAGAAGGGGAUAACACUUGGAAACAGGUGCUAAUACCGUAUAACAAUCGAAACCGCAUGGUUUUGAUUUGAAAGGCGCUUUCGGGUGUCACUGAUGGAUGGACCCGCGGUGCAUUAGCUAGUUGGUGAGGUAACGGCUCACCAAGGCCACGAUGCAUAGCCGACCUGAGAGGGUGAUCGGCCACAUUGGGACUGAGACACGGCCCAAACUCCUACGGGAGGCAGCAGUAGGGAAUCUUCGGCAAUGGACGAAAGUCUGACCGAGCAACGCCGCGUGAGUGAAGAAGGUUUUCGGAUCGUAAAACUCUGUUGUUAGAGAAGAACAAGGAUGAGAGUAACUGUUCAUCCCUUGACGGUAUCUAACCAGAAAGCCACGGCUAACUACGUGCCAGCAGCCGCGGUAAUACGUAGGUGGCAAGCGUUGUCCGGAUUUAUUGGGCGUAAAGCGAGCGCAGGCGGUUUCUUAAGUCUGAUGUGAAAGCCCCCGGCUCAACCGGGGAGGGUCAUUGGAAACUGGGAGACUUGAGUGCAGAAGAGGAGAGUGGAAUUCCAUGUGUAGCGGUGAAAUGCGUAGAUAUAUGGAGGAACACCAGUGGCGAA
Molecule: ribosomal RNA, 688 nt
Filed under: uncultured bacterium
Lineage: Bacteria
Description: bacterial SSU rRNA
Rfam family: Bacterial small subunit ribosomal RNA
Source: RNAcentral